CAAAUUGGGAGAGGAGGAAAAAUGGCUGCACUAUUGUGGCGCCUUAGCCAGUGAGGGAAUGCUAAAGGAAGUGCGGUGAGGGGCUUUAUAUAACGCUCCUGUCUGUUGGCACGUAUUAAACGGCGACCCCGUGAGAAGGGUGUGUGGACGUGAGGUGAUGGAGGGAGGGUCGGCCUGCAGACGCCUGCAGACUAAUUAGUUGUAUUUAUAACUUUUGAGGCCGCGAUGGGAAAUAGCGAGCAGUUGGUUGCAGCUCGUGUUUGAACUGUUGCAUCUGCUGCCUGAAGGCUUCUCACAUCCCAGUGAACUCUAUUCUGUCAGCGGUGACCGGGCUCCUCCGUCCUGUCAUGAGCUGGUGAUCCUGCCCCCAGCCCACCCCUCGCCCCAUGUCUCACCCCUCACAGGACACAGCAGUUUGUCUGGAGCAUGAAAACCCCUCGGCCUGGGAGAGAGGGAACACUCCUCUUUCUGGUGUUAUCGCAGACAUUUCAGUGGCACGUGUGCACAAAGCCCCCCCGCCACUCCAUUUGCUCUUUCGCUCAGGCAGGAUUUUAUUGUCGUUCCCUCUUUUAUCAAGUGUGACAGACUUGUCAGUGUUGUAUUUUUAGAGCGCUGUGCCCUGAGAUCUUGGCGUACCGUCCACUGGAGCACAAAACAACAGAUUGAACAGAUGUUUCCGACACUGUGUCAGGCCUCAGCCACAGAUUCUGUCUGGAGGAAACGCUGCGAGAGGUUAAACUGGAAAAACUGUUUUCUCUGUUUCAACCAUCAUUGGAUAUUCCCCCUGCUCACGUUAGAGGCUCAUAUGCCCACCGAGCAACGAGGCUUCAUGCUGUGGAUGGUGGAGAAUGUUCUACAACUCAAUCGGGAGGAAACUGAAGUCCUGGUCAGUGGUGCCGACGCUCACAGUGAAACUAUAAACACUGUUUUGUGCGUCACACUAGAAAACAGAGGGCAGCCGUGGCUCGGGAGGUAGAGAGGGUCGUCCACUAAACAGAAGGUCGGUCGUUUGAUCCCCAGUAGCUCCACUCUGGGUAUUGAAGCGUGAAUGGGUAAAAGUAUAUUAUAUAUUAAAGAAAUAUAUUAAUAAUUUGAUUCCUGAGAUGUCAUUAUCACCCUUGUGACAAAGAAAUGUAAUCAAGGCCUGAAAUUUUACAGUUUAAUCAUAAACUUAAUUAUAAAGAACAAUAAAACGAAGGGAAACACAAAUACAGGCAAAUAAAUCAAAGUAAGAUCAUAGAAAUAUUUUGAUAUAUUGGUUUGUCUCUUUGUUUCAUGUUUUCUCUUUCUGUUUCAUUUAGUAAAUGAAGAAUAUAUCCAAGCUGUGCAGACUGGGACCAGACAGAAGAACGUCCCAGCAGGUUUCCAGUCAAACACCAGUUCCUCUCGUCGCCUGGUUGAUUAAGGUCAGAGGUCGGAGUCCAACCAGCUCAGCUCAGUUUUAACUCUGGUGUCUCUGUUUCCUGAUAUUUACAUAGUUUACUUUUCUUUGCCUGCCUCAUAAAACAGAUCAUAUAAAUGUGAUAACAGUGUAAUUUUAUUCACUUAGUGGCUUGAGAGCUUUUGAUAUAUAAUCUGUGGCUGAGAGCUUUUCAGCUGCUGAAGAGACGGAGCACGGAAAGUUAGAUUAAUGGACCGAGAGAAGAUUGUUAUUGAUUCUGCAACAUUAUCUUAAUCUACGAGUUUGGAUUGAGAGCACGCGGCGAUUCUGAAAAAAACAAAUAUCACAGACUGAAGCUCUGGAUUGAAUCGGUGGCUGGUGUCACCAUGAUUUGACUGUUGGUUUGUUACAAUCCCAAAGAGCGAGUGACGAUAAUCCUCCUGGAAAGAUAAUAAUAAUAAUAAUAAUAAUGAAUAAUCUCUGAUUUAGAGAAUUAAGUUCGACCUCGUCCACACUAAUGUUGAUAUUUUACAAAACUAACUUUUUCCUCUGUGUUUGUGUUCCUGUUUCUCUCUCUCCACUUCAUCCCACUGCUGCACCUUCUUCUGGUUUUUGAAAAAGUAUAUUUCUGAUAUUUUUAUUAAACCCCUUGAAUUAAAGCUCAAAGUUUACACUUGGA
Molecule: long non-coding RNA, 2060 nt
Organism: Hippoglossus stenolepis (Pacific halibut)
Lineage: Eukaryota; Metazoa; Chordata; Actinopteri; Pleuronectiformes; Pleuronectidae
Exons: 2
Source: RefSeq, a predicted model, not a curated record